Non-coding RNA from Equus caballus (horse), 323 nucleotides. Lineage: Eukaryota; Metazoa; Chordata; Mammalia; Perissodactyla; Equidae. The record is from Rfam.
GGACUUGAGAGCAGCCUGGCUGUGGGAUGUGUCACUCUGUUUUCUGGAGUGUAGCUGGCCUGGCUGGCAGGGCGUGUGUUCACCUUCUGCACGCGUUGCUCUGUGUGUCUUGGACCUGAAGCUUAGUGCUUGGUGGCAGGUGACGGCCUGCUCAGUUAGGGAAUGGUUCUUCCUUGGCCAUGGAGGGAUGAGUAAUGCAUUCCCCAGCUAGGACGUCCAAGUACGUCCAAGAAACUAAAGCAAGACAGUUGCCCUUCCUUUCUCCCCAAAGCAGGAUAAAGAGAGAGAUGGGUUCACAGGGUAGAGGUUUUUGGUCCUUUCUU